This 802-nucleotide long non-coding RNA is filed under the name Rhinopithecus bieti (black snub-nosed monkey). RNAcentral's name for it is "lncRNA (ENSRBIG00000045164.1)". Lineage: Eukaryota; Metazoa; Chordata; Mammalia; Primates; Cercopithecidae. The record is from RNAcentral.
UGACUAACAUGGUGAAACCCCACCUCUACUAAAAAUACAAAAAUUAGCCGGGCAUGGUGGUGUGUGCCUGUAGUCCCAGCUACCUGGGAGGCUGAGGCAGGAGAAUCGGCUUGAACCCAGGAGGUGGAGGUUGCAGUGAGCCGAGCUCAUACCAUUGCACUCCAGCCUGGGCAACAGGGCAAGACUCUGUCUCAAAAAAAAAAAAAAAAAGACCUUGAGGGAAGGUGGGGAGCUCUUGGCCCCGGAUUGCACAAUCGACCUGGGUCAUGCUGGGCCGGCUCAGUGUUCUCAGGCACAGCAGCUCCGCCGGUCCCCUGGUCCAAGGCUCCAGAACCUAGGAGCAACCCUGACCUCUGACCUCAGGCAUGCGACAGGUUGUCUAGGACUGCGCCCUGGCAACGGGGCUGCAGACAAGCCUGGCAGGACCGGCCUGGAGGCAGCAGCCUCGAAUGAGCCCCACUCUCUGCAGCUCAGAAGGAGCGGAGGCCUCUCCCACAGCACCCAGCACACCCGGAACGCCUGCGGCAGAGGACCCACCUGCCUGACCCAUGGCCCGCCCGGGCCGGGUGCUGGAGGGAGCCACUGUCCUUCACCUUGGAGGGAAACCUAGUGUUCGCCCGUGUGGCACCUGCAAAGCAACACCUGGAGGCAACAUCACCCAGCAACAUGGACGUCAGGGCGAAAAACAGAAAGCACCAAGGAAUACACAAGGCCCUGGAAAAUUACUUACAACGGAGGCAAGGAGGAGUCUCCACCCUCGGAAAUCCGCAUGUUCCCGUGUGUGUGUGUGGGGGGGGGGGGG